GCCUAACACAUGUCUGCUUAUUCUUGUUGCAGGGGUGGUUUCAUGUCAUUUUCCAUAACCCCAAUUCCAGAGCUAAGGUCUGGUCUGUCAUUGCAGAGGAUCACAAACCAGGCCCUGCCCAGUGAAAGCCAAGAAUGAUACCACUACUGUUGUGGAUGCUUCCUGAAGCCACUGGAAUCCUCCAUGGCGGUUGAGAACUCAACAGGGAGAUUUGCUGUGUCACCUCACAGAGCGACUUGUGAAGGGAUAACAACUGAAGUGAACAGUGGAGAUUUACACCAUCCUACCACAAGGCUUCACUUUCACUUUCACCACAAGGGUGGCAAGUGUUCAAAGGUGAAGAGGCAUUUAUGGCGACACUAACAGCCAGUUUUUCUUCACAUUCAAGGUUAUAGAUUUUUUAAAAGGAUCCAUCCCAGAAUCCCACACUGAACUUAUUCAUCCAGAAUCUUGGAUUCUGAACCGCAGAUUCAACCAACUACGGACAGUCAAAGUCAAGAAAUGGGAAGCUCUUCAGUUAUAUGCUCAAUGAAAACUUCAUGCCACUGGCACACAAGCUUUCCCUCCAAGUCGAGCUGAUCCUGGCACGGAACCUGGCUUCAUGAGACACAAAUGCCAGUUUUCUUUCCAGAGCUGAUGCCUUGAGGGUACCCGGAUUUUCACUGGAAGAGAGUACCAUAGCCCAAAAAAGCAAGGAGCCAUCAGGUUGCCAGAAAAUGCAUGGCACUCUGUGCCAGGCCCGAAGCCGCAGCCACCACAGGACGGGAGGAGAACUCCACUCAUGUCAGAUGGAUAAGCCCAGAAGAGUGGAGCAC
Long non-coding RNA from Cervus elaphus (red deer), 815 nucleotides. RefSeq lists it as uncharacterized. The record is from RefSeq and is a predicted model, not a curated record. The transcript is spliced from 4 exons. Lineage: Eukaryota; Metazoa; Chordata; Mammalia; Artiodactyla; Cervidae.